AAGCGUGGACGCCAGUCUGCGUGGAGCCGACCUUGAAAUACCACCCUUUAAUGUUUGAUGUUCUAACGUGGACCCGUGAUCCGGGUUGCGGACAGUGUCUGGUGGGUAGUUUGACUGGGGCGGUCUCCUCCUAAAGAGUAACGGAGGAGCACGAAGGUUGGCUAAUCCUGGUCGGACAUCAGGAGGUUAGUGCAAUGGCAUAAGCCAGCUUGACUGCGAGCGUGACGGCGCGAGCAGGUGCGAAAGCAGGUCAUAGUGAUCCGGUGGUUCUGAAUGGAAGGGCCAUCGCUCAACGGAUAAAAGGUACUCCGGGGAUAACAGGCUGAUACCGCCCAAGAGUUCAUAUCGACGGCGGUGUUUGGCACCUCGAUGUCGGCUCAUCACAUCCUGGGGCUGAAGUAGGUCCCAAGGGUAUGGCUGUUCGCCAUUUAAAGUGGUACGCGAGCUGGGUUUAGAACGUCGUGAGACAGUUCGGUCCCUAUCUGCCGUGGGCGCUGGAGAACUGAGGGGGGCUGCUCCUAGUACGAGAGGACCGGAGUGGACGCAUCACUGGUGUUCGGGUUGUCAUGCCAAUGGCACUGCCCGGUAGCUAAAUGCGGAAGAGAUAAGUGCUGAAAGCAUCUAAGCACGAAACUUGCCCCGAGAUGAGUUCUCCCUGAGACUUUAGGUCUCCUGAAGGAACGUUGAAGACGACGACGUUGAUAGGCCGGGUGUGUAAGCGCAGCGAUGCGUUGAGCUAACCGGUACUAAUGAACCGUGAGGCUUAACCUUACA
RNAcentral lists this ribosomal RNA (774 nucleotides) under Salmonella enterica. Its description in RNAcentral is "partial 23S ribosomal RNA". It matches the Rfam family "Bacterial large subunit ribosomal RNA", at positions 2160 to 2925 of the family's 2925-position model. The record is from RNAcentral. Lineage: Bacteria; Pseudomonadati; Pseudomonadota; Gammaproteobacteria; Enterobacterales; Enterobacteriaceae.